This 74-nucleotide transfer RNA is filed under the name Candidatus Anammoximicrobium sp. Its description in RNAcentral is "tRNA-Thr". It matches the Rfam family "tRNA". Rfam says of the family: Transfer RNA (tRNA) molecules are approximately 80 nucleotides in length. The record is from RNAcentral. Lineage: Bacteria; Pseudomonadati; Planctomycetota; Planctomycetia; Pirellulales; Pirellulaceae.
GCCGACGUGGCUCGACGGAGAAAGGCAUCCGCCUUGUAAGCGGGUUCAUGCUGGUGCGAAUCCAGUCGUCGGCU